GACGAACGCUGGCGGCGUGCUUAACACAUGCAAGUCGAGCGGUAAGGCCCCCUUCGGGGGGUACACGAGCGGCGAACGGGUGAGUAACACGUGGGUGACCUGCCCUCAGCUCUGGGAUAAGCCUGGGAAACUGGGUCUAAUACCGGAUAUGACUCCAUGACGCAUGUUGUGGGGUGGAAAGCCUUGUGCGGCUGGGGAUGGGCCCGCGGCCUAUCAGCUUGUUGGUGGGGUGAUGGCCUACCAAGGCGACGACGGGUAGCCGGCCUGAGAGGGCGACCGGCCACACUGGGACUGAGACACGGCCCAGACUCCUACGGGGAGGCAGCAGUGGGGAAUCUUGCGCAAUGGGCGAAAGCCUGACGCAGCGACGCCGCGUGAGGGAUGACGGCC
This 390-nucleotide ribosomal RNA is filed under the name uncultured bacterium. RNAcentral's name for it is "bacterial SSU rRNA". It matches the Rfam family "Bacterial small subunit ribosomal RNA", at positions 28 to 416 of the family's 1533-position model. The record is from RNAcentral.